Pelobates cultripes (western spadefoot toad) is the source of this 259-nucleotide non-coding RNA. NCBI's taxonomy places the organism in Eukaryota, Metazoa, Chordata, Amphibia, Anura, Pelobatidae. The record is from the annotation of a GenBank genome assembly.
GGGGUCUAAUACAGCGGACUCAUCCGUCUCGCGCUCCGCGUCUAAAGCUGGAGGCGCGGUGUCGCUGCGUUCGGGGGACGAAUUGUCUGAAUUAAUUGGGUCGAUGUCAUCUGACCCAUCUGAUACCUCCUCUGAGUCCGAGUCGGAGUCGGACGGAUCAGAUAGGGCUUUUGCCCUCUUCCAAGUCCGCACCGUUUUUGCCCGGCGGGGGGCUCUUUUACGUGGGAGCACCACGUCAUCAAUUUCAACAGGGCGCAAC